UACAGAGGUCCCGAGGGUUGUUCGGAUUCACUGGGCGUAAAGGGUGCGUAGGUGGCCUGAAAAGUUUGAUGUGAAAGCUCAGGGCUUAACCCUGAAAUGGCGUUGAAUACUGUCGGGCUGGAGGUUUGGAGGGGGGACUGGAAUUCUUGGUGUAGCAGUGAAAUGCGUAGAUAUCAAGAGGAACACCAGUGGCGAAGGCGAGUCCCUGGACAACACCUGACACUGAGGCACGAAAGCUAGGGGAGCAAAAGGG
This 253-nucleotide ribosomal RNA is filed under the name uncultured bacterium. Its description in RNAcentral is "partial 16S ribosomal RNA". It matches the Rfam family "Bacterial small subunit ribosomal RNA", at positions 524 to 776 of the family's 1533-position model. The record is from RNAcentral.